This 500-nucleotide ribosomal RNA is filed under the name uncultured bacterium. RNAcentral's name for it is "bacterial SSU rRNA". It matches the Rfam family "Bacterial small subunit ribosomal RNA", at positions 295 to 812 of the family's 1533-position model. The record is from RNAcentral.
AGAGGGUGAACGGCCACACUGGGACUGAGACACGGCCCAGACUCCUACGGGAGGCAGCAGUGGGGAAUAUUGCGCAAUGGGGGAAACCCUGACGCAGCAACGCCGCGUGAACGAAGAAGGUUUUCGGAUCGUAAAGUUCUGUCAGAGGGGAAGAAUAAUGACGGUACCCUCAGAGGAAGCCCCGGCUAACUACGUGCCAGCAGCCGCGGUAAUACGUAGGGGGCGAGCGUUGUCCGGAAUUACUGGGCGUAAAGGGCGUGUAGGCGGUUUUUUAAGUCAGGCGUUAAAAUUCGGGGCUUAACCCCGGAGUGCGUUUGAAACUGAAGAACUUGAGUACUGGAGAGGUAAGUGGAAUUCCUAGUGUAGCGGUGAAAUGCGUAGAGAUUAGGAGGAACACCAGUGGCGAAGGCGGCUUACUGGCCAGAUACUGACGCUGAGGCGCGAAAGCGUGGGUAGCAAACAGGAUUAGAUACCCUGGUAGUCCACGCCGUAAACGAUGA